Molecule: ribosomal RNA, 119 nt
Filed under: Pteropus alecto (black flying fox)
Lineage: Eukaryota; Metazoa; Chordata; Mammalia; Chiroptera; Pteropodidae
Source: RNAcentral
GUCUACAGCUAUGCCACCCUGAACAUACCCGAUCUCAUCUGAUCUCAGAAGCUAAGCAGGGUCGGGCCUGGUUAGUACUUGGAUGGGAGACUACCUAAGAAGACCAGGUGCUGUAGGUG